RNAcentral lists this ribosomal RNA (301 nucleotides) under uncultured bacterium. RNAcentral's name for it is "partial 16S ribosomal RNA". It matches the Rfam family "Bacterial small subunit ribosomal RNA", at positions 509 to 809 of the family's 1533-position model. The record is from RNAcentral.
CAGCAGCCACGGGAAUACGUAGGUCCCGAGCGUUGUCCGGAUUUAUUGGGCGUAAAGCGCGCGCAGGUGGUUUAAUAAGUCUGAUGUGAAAGCCCACGGCUCAACCGUGGAGGGUCAUUGGAAACUGUUAAACUUGAGUGCGGGAGAGAAAAGUGGAAUUCCUAGUGUAGCGGUGAAAUGCGUAGAGAUUAGGAGGAACACCAGUGGCGAAGGCGGCUUUUUGGCCUGUAACUGACACUGAGGCGCGAAAGCGUGGGGAGCAAACAGGAUUAGAUACCCCUGUAGUCCCUGUCUCUUAUAA